UAGUCCAUUAGACCACUGAUCUAGAAUCUAGAGAGAGUCGUUGGAUCUCGUACACAUUCAGGGAGACGGUGCUUUAAAAAGUCGCGCGUUCUCUUUCAUCCCUCUUUUUUCCCCGCAGGGGCCUUACCCAGCAUGGCGGAGUUCCUCAUCGACCCCGAGAUGGACCAGGAGCUGGACAAACUAAUUGCCCAGAUCUCAGUGAGUCCCAGCAGCAGCGGCAGUGCGGUGGGGGGGCUGAAGGAGGUGCAGAGGAGGGCGUCGCCCAGGAGGAACGUGCACCACAGGAGGAAGAUGGAGGUGGAAAGCGACGGUUCCACGGAAGAGACAGACUCCUCUGAAAACUGAGUGCGACGUGUCACCUUCCGUCUUAAGUCGCGAUGAGUCGUAUAACUAAAAGGUGGUUAUCAACGGUAUCACUCCAGUGUGUACUCCAUUUCAAAGUAUUUACAAUUCAACCUGUAUUUCACUAAAAGUAUUUCACUAAAAGUGAAAAUAAGAAAGUACGUAUGAGGUUAGCUGCUCCAUAUCAUGCGAAACAAAGCAGGUCUCAUUGCUGGUUUUACAGAGUGACUCCAAUAAGAGAGGAACCCGUUGCCUUGGGAGUACAAUGACUGACUGAUGAUUGAUAUUUGAUCAAAAAGCUACAGUUGUUUGAAACCCUACUGUAGUGACCCUGUUGCCUAUCAAAAUAAAGGACAAAAUGGUUGCUUGGAGGUUUAGUUUCCCCGCGUGCAAUAAACAGAUGAAAUGUCCAGUUUGCAAUGAGAAAAGUUAUUUAUUCAUAAAGUUGUACGGCUUCCAACACAAACCCAAAUGUACAUUUCUUGUCCAAACCCAUGUGUCUGUUCCCAACAAAUUAAAGAAAUCAAAACAC
This is a long non-coding RNA of Pseudoliparis swirei, 874 nucleotides long. RefSeq lists it as uncharacterized. The record is from RefSeq and is a predicted model, not a curated record. The transcript is spliced from 2 exons. Lineage: Eukaryota; Metazoa; Chordata; Actinopteri; Perciformes; Liparidae.